RNAcentral lists this transfer RNA (72 nucleotides) under Brevibacterium yomogidense. Its description in RNAcentral is "tRNA-Gln". It matches the Rfam family "tRNA". From Rfam's summary of the family: Transfer RNA (tRNA) molecules are approximately 80 nucleotides in length. Their secondary structure includes four short double-helical elements and three loops (D, anti-codon, and T loops). Further hydrogen bonds mediate the characteristic L-shaped molecular structure. tRNAs have two regions of fundamental functional importance: the anti-codon, which is responsible for specific mRNA codon recognition, and the 3' end, to which the tRNAs corresponding amino acid is attached (by aminoacyl-tRNA synthetases). tRNAs cope with the degeneracy of the genetic code in two manners: having more than one tRNA (with a specific anti-codon) for a particular amino acid; and 'wobble' base-pairing, i.e. permitting non-standard base-pairing at the 3rd anti-codon position. RNAcentral also lists the same sequence under 1 other name. The record is from RNAcentral. Lineage: Bacteria; Bacillati; Actinomycetota; Actinomycetes; Micrococcales; Brevibacteriaceae.
UCCGCCCUGGUGUAAUGGCAGCACUCCGGCUUUUGGUGCCGUGUGGUCUAGGUUCGAAUCCUAGGGGCGGAG